RNAcentral lists this signal recognition particle RNA (243 nucleotides) under Desulfobacterales bacterium. RNAcentral describes it as "signal recognition particle sRNA large type". It matches the Rfam family "Bacterial large signal recognition particle RNA". Rfam says of the family: The signal recognition particle (SRP) is a universally conserved ribonucleoprotein involved in the co-translational targeting of proteins to membranes. Archaeal SRP consists of a 7S RNA and homologues of the eukaryotic SRP19 and SRP54 proteins. In most bacteria, the SRP consists of a 4.5S RNA and the Ffh protein (a homologue of the eukaryotic SRP54 protein). Lineage: Bacteria; Pseudomonadati; Thermodesulfobacteriota; Desulfobacteria; Desulfobacterales. RNAcentral also lists the same sequence under 1 other name. The record is from RNAcentral.
UUGUGCUAGGUGGGGAGCUAGCGGUGCCCUGUACCCGAAAUCCGCUAUAGCGGGGCCGAAAUCCCUUCCGAGGGUCAUGCCGAAAACAUAUUUGUCUGCCGACCGGCCGCCGCGCAACAGACGGUCACGAACCUCGUCAGGUCCGGAAGGAAGCAGCGAUAAGAGAUGCGGUCUGUGUCGCGGAUCGAUCCCGGUCACAUGCAGGCAAACAUGGAAUAGGUAGAUUCGAAGAAGGGUGCACAA